UACGAAGGGAGCUAGCGUUGUUCGGAAUCACUGGGCGUAAAGCGCACGUAGGCGGAUUUGUCAGUCAGGGGUGAAAUCCCGGGGCUCAACCUCGGAACUGCCUUUGAUACAGCAAGUCUUGAGUUCGAGAGAGGUGGGUGGAAUUCCUAGUGUAGAGGUGAAAUUCGUAGAUAUUAGGAAGAACACCGGUGGCGAAGGCGGUUCUCUGGGCCUGUACUGACGCUGAGGAACGAAAGCGUGGGGAGCGAGCAGG
This 253-nucleotide ribosomal RNA is filed under the name uncultured bacterium. RNAcentral's name for it is "partial 16S ribosomal RNA". It matches the Rfam family "Bacterial small subunit ribosomal RNA", at positions 524 to 776 of the family's 1533-position model. The record is from RNAcentral.